This 173-nucleotide ribosomal RNA is filed under the name Barnettozyma californica. RNAcentral's name for it is "partial 18S rRNA". It matches the Rfam family "Eukaryotic small subunit ribosomal RNA", at positions 1484 to 1653 of the family's 1831-position model. The record is from RNAcentral. Lineage: Eukaryota; Fungi; Ascomycota; Saccharomycetes; Phaffomycetales; Phaffomycetaceae.
GGGCCGCACGCGCGCUACACUGACGGAGCCAGCGAGUUUUAUUGUUCCUUUGCCGAGAGGUAUGGGUAAUCUUGUGAAACUCCGUCGUGCUGGGGAUCGAAUGUUGCAAUUUUCAUUCGUCAACGAGGAAUUCCUAGUAAGCGCAAGUCAUCAGCUUGCGUUGAUUACGUCCC